This 667-nucleotide long non-coding RNA is filed under the name Pan troglodytes (chimpanzee). RNAcentral's name for it is "lincRNA". The record is from RNAcentral. Lineage: Eukaryota; Metazoa; Chordata; Mammalia; Primates; Hominidae.
GGCAUCUAGAACACUGAGGAAUCCAGGAUGGACACUUAACACUACCAAAGAUUGAUCUAUUUUGGAAUUAGUUCUUUAGAUCAGAGGUCCCCAACCCCGGGACUGCGGACUGCCACUGGUAUUUGGCCUGUCAGGCACCUGGCCACACAGCAGGAGUGUGAAAAAAAAGGAAAAAACUGAAAAUCUCAAGAGGAUUCCAGGAAAUCAAAACAAUGAAUUAUUGAAUAAAGAAUUUGAAAGAGAAAAUAGAUGCAAACUGAAAAAAGAAUUUUGUUUAGUGAGAUAGAUGUAAUAAUGAAGGCAUGUUGAUAACAGGGGAGCUAUGUAUAUAUGAGGGGAGGGAUAUAUUGGAAAUCUCUGUAUCUUCCUCUCAAUCUUGCUGUGAUCCUAAAACUGCUCUAAAAAAUAUUUUGAGAAGGAAUAAUGAUGUAGUAAACAUGUUCUGUUAUUUAAAAAGAGAGACUUUUCAUAGCUGCCUCCCUCCCCCUCUACACACACACAGAGUCCUGUCCGUCUUCAUUCGCUUACUCAAUAAUUUGUAUAGACACAACCACUGGGCUCCAGUAAUCCUAAAGUUUCUAGAAAAUCAAGCACAGAAAAAGGUUAAAACCCUGAGGGAAUAAAAGGAUUCCUUUGCAUCCAUUGCAUUUCUCAGGAAGUGAACUAA